AUUGAACGCUGGCGGCAGGCCUAACACAUGCAAGUCGAGCGGAUGAAGGGAGCUUGCUCCUGGAUUCAGCGGCGGACGGGUGAGUAAUGCCUAGGAAUCUGCCUGGUAGUGGGGGAUAACGUCCGGAAACGGGCGCUAAUACCGCAUACGUCCUGAGGGAGAAAGUGGGGGAUCUUCGGACCUCACGCUAUCAGAUGAGCCUAGGUCGGAUUAGCUAGUUGGUGGGGUAAAGGCCUACCAAGGCGACGAUCCGUAACUGGUCUGAGAGGAUGAUCAGUCACACUGGAACUGAGACACGGUCCAGACUCCUACGGGAGGCAGAAGGGGGGAAUAUUGGACAAUGGGCGAAAGCCUGAUCCAGCCAUGCCGCGUGUGUGAAGAAGGUCUUCGGAUUGUAAAGCACUUUAAGUUGGGAGGAAGGGCAGUAAGUUAAUACCUUGCUGUUUUGACGUUACCAACAGAAUAAGCACCGGCUAACUUCGUG
Molecule: ribosomal RNA, 484 nt
Filed under: uncultured bacterium
Lineage: Bacteria
Description: partial 16S ribosomal RNA
Rfam family: Bacterial small subunit ribosomal RNA
Source: RNAcentral